UGGGGAAUUUUGGACAAUGGGCGAAAGCCUGAUCCAGCCAUGCCGCGUGAGUGAAGAAGGCCUUCGGGUUGUAAAGCUCUUUUAGUCGGAAAGAAAGAGUUGCAAUGAAUAAUUGUGAUUUAUGACAGUACCGACAGAAAAAGCACCGGCUAACUACGUGCCAGCAGCCGCGGUAAUACGUAGGGUGCGAGCGUUAAUCAGAAUUACUGAGCGUAAAGGGUGCGCAGGCGGUCUUGCAAGUCAGAUGUAAAAGCCCCAGGCUUAACCUGGGAAUUGCGUUUGAAACUACAAGGCUAGAGUGCAGCAGAAGGGAGUGGAAUUCCAUGUGUAGCAGUGAAAUGCGUAGAGAUGUGGAAGAACACCGAUGGCGAAGGCAGCUCCCGUGGGUUGACACUGACGCUC
RNAcentral lists this ribosomal RNA (402 nucleotides) under uncultured bacterium. Its description in RNAcentral is "bacterial SSU rRNA". It matches the Rfam family "Bacterial small subunit ribosomal RNA", at positions 355 to 748 of the family's 1533-position model. The record is from RNAcentral.